RNAcentral lists this ribosomal RNA (468 nucleotides) under uncultured bacterium. Its description in RNAcentral is "partial 16S ribosomal RNA". It matches the Rfam family "Bacterial small subunit ribosomal RNA", at positions 28 to 507 of the family's 1533-position model. The record is from RNAcentral.
GACGAACGCUGGCGGCGUGCUUAACACAUGCAAGUCGAACGGACUGGCCCUGCUUUUGCUGGUUGCUUGUUUGCCGCGCGGGUGAGUAACACACGAGUAUCCUCCCCUUGUCUUUCUGAUAACUUCUGGGAACUCCGUCUCAUACCCGAUAGGAGCUCCUGCUCCAUGGUGUUGGUUGGAAAGUUUCGGCCGUUGUGGCUGGACUCGCGGGUUCUCCGCUUGUUGGUGGGGUAGUUGCUGACCAAGGCUUUGACGGGUAGCCUGCCUGAGAGGGUGACCGGCCACAUUGGGACUGAGAGACGGCGCAGACGCGUACGGGAGGCAGCAGGGGGGAAUAUUGCACAAUGGGCGGAAGCGUGAUGCAGCAACGCCGCGUGCGGGAUGACGGCCUUCGGGUUGUAAACCGAUUUCGCAUGUGACGAAGAGUGAGUGACGGUAAUGGGUAAAGAAGCAACGGCUAACUACGUG